AGCUUGUCUGGAGGUGCAGUCAAUAUGAAUGGAAUCAAGAAGAAAUUUGAUGCAAUGGCUUCCCCAACAAAGACAAUUACAAGCCCACUCUCUCCUUACCGUUCUCCUGGUGCUUCCAAUGUUAAUAGCAAUCUAAAUUGUGGUAACUCAAAGAUGGCAGCUACCCCUGUAACCACAGCGAUGACAACUGCCAGGUGGCUGCGUACCGUCAUAGCUCCACUACAGGCAAAACCUUCACCUGAGUUGGAGAGAUUUUUGUCUGCCUGUGAUAGGAAUGUAUCAGCUGAUGUGAUCCGGAGGGCUCACAUUAUUCUGGAGGCUAUAUUUCCAAGUAGUGGUCCUGGGGAGCAUUGUGCGGCUGGGAGCCUGCAAAGCACAAGCUUAAUGGACAACAUAUGGGCAGAGCAACGUAGAUCUGAGUCUCUGAAGUUGUAUUAUAGGGUUCUGCAGACUAUGUGUGUCGCAGAAUCUCAGAUUUUGCAUGUGACCAAUUUAACUUCGUUGCUAACCAAUGAGAGGUUUCAUAGAUGUAUGCUUGCCUGCUCAGCUGAACUAGUUCUUGCCACUCACAAGACAGUUACAAUGUUGUUUCCAGCUGUUUUGGAGAGAACAGGAAUUACA
RNAcentral lists this unclassified non-coding RNA (621 nucleotides) under Hevea brasiliensis (rubber tree). Lineage: Eukaryota; Viridiplantae; Streptophyta; Magnoliopsida; Malpighiales; Euphorbiaceae. The record is from RNAcentral.